RNAcentral lists this ribosomal RNA (1643 nucleotides) under Triticum aestivum (bread wheat). Its description in RNAcentral is "partial small subunit ribosomal RNA". The record is from RNAcentral. Lineage: Eukaryota; Viridiplantae; Streptophyta; Magnoliopsida; Poales; Poaceae.
CAAAAUUGCGCAAAUGCCUAGCAGAAAAAGAACUUGUUCGUAUACAUAGGUAGGUUCACGAAAUAUUGUAGUAGUACUUUGGUGAAAGGAUUCACAUCAGUUCAAUCAUUUUUGAAUGUUCAGUAAAAGUUCAAAUAGAGCAGAGGCUUUCACCUCAUUCGAAAAAGCCUAAAAAGCAACAGUACAAUGAUAGAAAAAAAUCAGUUCAAAAAAAUAUGCUGGAGGUUUGUCGGAAUGGCAGAAAAACAUCAGUUCAAUUUUUCUGUACCAUCGCUUCUAUUGCUAAAUGUUUUAGUCACUUGUUUUCUUGAUGCCAUCAGGUAUUUCCUUAAAUACUUCGGUCUUGUGCAGCUGGUACUAGUGUGAAUGGGUAGCAAGUUGAACUACCAAUCCACACCAAGUUCAGACCUCUUUUUGGAAUUGGGCCUGCCCCAUGAUCCGGCGUCGCCCUCCGCUGCCUCAGCACGCAGGCCGUUCACCUUCACCACCCCUGGCCGUUCACCACCACCACCAGCGCCCGUUCAAUGCCGCCCCAACAACCCAGUGCGACUUUGUCUCUCUCAACUUAAAAAGCGGUUCAGCUCAGUGCAUGUCAGACAUUAAAGCAAUAUUCUGUAGUAGCUUCAAAAAAUGCAAAUGGUCAUGUUUCCACAAGACUGACGGAACACUGCCAAUUGAAUUGAGCACUAGCGGAACUGUGAAGGUUCGUUCUAUAAAAUUGCAUCAGUUCGCUAGCAAAAUCAAAUUCAGUUCAUCUGCCCUUUGUUAGCUUCAGAAAAUGCAAAUGUGUAUGUUUUUGCAGCACUGACGAAACACUACCAAUUGAAUUGAACGUUGACCACGUCUCCACCCUCCCCACGCCCGCCAAUGCUGCGACCACCCCUCCCCCUCACGAUUUCUCGUUGAUAUCGCUGUAUUCAUGCUUGUUACGUGAGUUGCCUGAUGGAAGUUCUGCAACUGUCAGUCCAGAUGGAAGAAGGAGAUCCAUCCAAAGUGUGAGUUUUGCGACGUCGACGUGCAAGUUCUACAAUUAUCUGUCCAGAUGGGAGAAGGAGAUCAAUCCAACCGACGCAUCUAAAGCGACAUAUGCAGAGCCAUUCGUCUGAGAGCCAAAUCCUGGCGCGCCCAGCCGCUGCUCGUGAACCCCGCCUCCAUCAGCUCCACUUCACUGGAGCCGUCAGUCCACAGGAAUAGGGGUAGCGGAUCCCCUAUAGCGGUCAAAUCCCGGUGCGCCCAGCCGCUGCUUGUGAACCUCGCCUCCAUCAGCUCCACUUCACCAGAGCCGUCAGUCCGCAGGAGUAGGGGUAGCAGGUUCACCCAACGUCCGACGCCUUCUUCCAUCUCCAAAAAUCUUGUUUUUUGAGUUCAGUUCUUCGUCACAUGUUUCACUAGCUGAAAAAUGCAUGGUGUUCUGAAAUUGCUUGCGGACCACUAGCUGAAAUUGCUUGACGAACAAAAGCAAAGGUUUUAUCUUCAUCUACUAUUUUUUCAGAUAUUCGUCAUAUGCACGAGCAUGACUAUAUUUGCUUGUUAUGAUCUAGUGGGCAACAUUAACAUUUGGGUAGUCCUUCUGCAGGGCCCAAACCCACUGUCGUGCAAGAAAAAGAAAGCAAAGCCCCAACCAUCAGCUGCUCAAUCAUCAG